RNAcentral lists this long non-coding RNA (923 nucleotides) under Equus caballus (horse). RNAcentral's name for it is "lncRNA (ENSECAG00000029599.3)". Lineage: Eukaryota; Metazoa; Chordata; Mammalia; Perissodactyla; Equidae. The record is from RNAcentral.
GCAGAGCCGCGGUGGCGGGACCCCAGGCCUCAUGCUCAGCCUCUUCUUGCUGAGGGUGCACGCCCCCUCACAUCCAGGGGCUCCCACGCUAGUUCUGCCAUAUGAAACCCAGUCAGAAACAACAGUACCACCAGGCCCGUCCCUAAGACUUCCCACAGACGCCACUGUUCUCGCUCUCUGCUCACCCCACUGUCUGGAGGCAGAUGAUGGUAGACGCUGGAUGCAAGGAGCCUGCGACAGCCUCCCGUGAGCCGGCAGGGCUGUGACGGCAGCACCACGCUGUCGGUCUGUCGGAGUGGCCAGGUCCACCCGCUGGGCUCACGGCAACGUGAGCUGUCCCACCAACACUCAUCACAAUGGAGGGAGGUGGACUGAGUGGCUUCACUUUGCAAUUAACUCCACAAAGAAGGAAAACACUGCUCAGGAAGUUAAGGGAACUUUCUCUGGCCGUGACGCUUGUAGGCAUUGAUGCCAAGACCUCCACACUGAACACUUUGUGCUUCUGUGGAACCAUCCAAGAACAAACUGGCAGAGCCGCUGUAAUUCUCCAGCAGAGAUUUACUGGGCAGCAUUCCAGGUGCCAAGCGAGGACGGAAACAAGCACGCGAGCCAUGGAUCCCAAAGCAAUCAACAGUACUUCUUUAUUACUUGACUUUUCGCUCUACCUAGUGUAUCAAGAAAAGAUCUGCUUUCUUCUCUGAAUUUCUGUAACCACUUUUAAGUAGUGGACGGGCUUGGUUAGACUAAGGGUUAUCAGAAAAUCAAGCACAGCGACACAGGCCAGCAAUCACACUUCAACUAACGGCCAGCCUGGAAGGACGGAGGGCCCACCUUCACCAGGGGCAACGAGCAGCCAGGAACAGCUGGCAUAUGUGUUCACUCCGCAAACAUCGACGCAGCACCUCGUGUUCACUGGGCAGAGA